This 1072-nucleotide long non-coding RNA is filed under the name Bos taurus (domestic cattle). Its description in RNAcentral is "long non-coding RNA NONBTAT020526". Lineage: Eukaryota; Metazoa; Chordata; Mammalia; Artiodactyla; Bovidae. The record is from RNAcentral.
UGAGAACUAGUGACACUUUUCUUUUGUUGUUUUAAUGAACUGAAGACAUAGUACUAGUUAGACAGCAAAUACUUUGCUUAUCAAAUCCUUCAACAAAGGCACUUCCCCCCAUGCUGUUGGUUUUCUCACUGAUGUAUAGAAGUUGGUCUUUUGAUUCUCAGUGUAGGCUUGAAUUAUUGCCCAAGAAAACCUGAGCCCACGUUGUUUUUUUUUAGUUUACUUAGCUAGAAUCUCACAGCAUAUUAAAGUCAUAUCCCCACCCCCACCCCCAAAUAAUUAUGUUUGAGUAUGUAAAAAAGGUAUGGUUACAGGGGUAUGUUAAAUUUUCAUACUUACUCUUUUAGCAAGUAUUUAUUAGUCAACUGGGUAUACAGUUCUAGAUAUUACAGAAGUUUCCAAAAAAUGGACAUGGACCAGCACUUAUAUCUAGAGUGUAUAAUCUGUAAUGGUAUAUAAGUAGCAGUAGCUGGUCUAAUCUGAAUAGUUCAUUCAAAAGUAUUUUGUAUUAAUUAUCCAGCCAUUGUAUUUAAGCUCUGGAUAAUAGGUACUGUUUAAUUUGCUGCAGCAUAUACUGAAUGGUGGAAAGACUGAACAUAUUGGGAUGUAUCUUUCCAUGUUUCUUUCAGAUAAUUAUAUAUUAUGAAAAGAACAUUUUAAAGCAUUUGGAGCAGUAAUGAAGUAAAAACAAUUCAAUGUAUGUCAGAUACACCCAACAGUUGAUGCUAUUCAAAUGUGAUUUUGUUAGUUUUUCUGUAUACAUUAUUGAUUACUGAUUUGUUUUUAGGUAUUUAAGUCUAAUAAACAGUUCACAUAUUGGCAGUCACUUUGAUAGUAAUAGAAUAUUAGUGAUGAUCACUUGAUGGACAUUUAUUACAUGCUUGUUUUGUUUCCCCUUCUGCAUGCCUGAUAGAUGUAUAUUACUUUUUUUUGGUGAACUUGUUUCUUGAAAGUUUUGACCAUGCUAUUCAGGGUGUUUAAUGUUAUGCUUUUCUUCUAAAUUUAAGUCUAAGAUGUCUGCUGUUACUAGUAAAGAUCAUAUGAAAGCUAAAAUUUACUGUUUUGUUGAAAAAUC